RNAcentral lists this ribosomal RNA (350 nucleotides) under uncultured Gemmatimonadota bacterium. RNAcentral describes it as "bacterial SSU rRNA". It matches the Rfam family "Bacterial small subunit ribosomal RNA", at positions 568 to 898 of the family's 1533-position model. Lineage: Bacteria; Pseudomonadati; Gemmatimonadota. The record is from RNAcentral.
CGCGUAGGCGGCACGUCAAGCGUGUGGUGAAAGCCCGGGGCUCAACCCCGGGUCGGCCGUGCGGACUGGCGUGCUCGAGCACUGUAGGGGCGGGUGGAAUUCCGGGUGUAGCGGUGGAAUGCGUAGAGAUCCGGAAGAACACCGGUGGCGAAGGCGGCCCGCUGGGCAGGAAGACCUCGUAAGAGGUCGGCUGACGCUGAGGCGCGACAGCGUGGGGAGCAAACAGGAUUAGAUACCCUGGUAGUCCACGCCGUAAACGAUGGGCACUAGGUGCCUGGGGGAGCGACCCCCCGGGUGCCGGCGCUAACGCAUUAAGUGCCCCGCCUGGGGAGUACGGCCGCAAGGCUGAA